CCAUCCAUCAUCCAUCCUCCAUCCAUCCAUCCAUCAUCCAUCCAUCCAUCAUCCAUCCAUCCAUCCUCCAUCCAUCCAUCAUCCAUCCAUCCAUCAUCCAUCCAUCAUCCAUCCAUCCAUCAUCCAUCCAUCCAUCCAUCAUCCAUUAUCCAUCAUCCAUCAUCCAUCCAUCCAUCCAUCAUCCAUCCAUCCAUCAUCCAUCCAUCCAUCCAUCCAUCAUCCAUCAUCCAUCCAUCCAUCAUCCAUCCAUCAUCCAUCCAUCAUCCAUCCAUCCAUCCAUCCAUCAUCCAUCAUCCAUCCCACCACCAUCCCACCCCACCCCACCACCCCAUUCCCGCUCCCACCUUGGCCUUGCCGGUGCUCUGCAGGAUGUGCACCAGCGCGCAGGCCACCUCCUCCUUGCUCUUGACGCUCAGCACCGGCUCCAGCACGGCGCACAGCAUGCGGUAGUUGUUGGUGACGUACUCGGCGAACUCCUUGUACAGCUCCAUGGGCAGGAUGCUCAUGGUCUGGAAGCGGCUCUUCACCCGCAGCGCCGGACAGCCGGCCUUGCUCUUGCUGCCGCUGGGCUGGCUCAGGGGGUACCACUGCUCGGCGAAGUGCCGCCCGGUGACGCUGGCGAUGGGGAUGCUCACCAUGCCCACGUAGUUGCUCUUGUCCUUCUUCCUCUUCUUGUCGGUGUCCUUGUAGAGGUGCAGGCGGAUGGUGCGCACGGCCGGCAGGUUGUUGAACUCGAAGUGCUCGCCCCAGAAGACGUUGUCGGUGCGGGCCUUGCUGGUGGUGCGGGCGUACAGCAUGUCGUCCAGGCACAGCUCGCAGUAGUAGCGCUUCUUGGGCGGCAGGUCGCGCGCCUCGAUCACCCACAGCUUCAGCACGUUGUCCACGCGACGGCUGUUGUCCUGCGGGGUGGGAAAGGAGCACGUGGUCACCGUGUGGUCAGUGCCUGUGGUCACCCCUGAUCACCCACAGCUUCAGCACGUUGUCCACGUGACGGCUGUUGUCUUGCAGGGCGGGGAGGAGAGUGUGGUCACCGUGUGGUCAGCACACACGGUCAGCAAUCGGUCAGUGUGCGUGGUCAGCGCACGCUGUCACUGUGUGGUCAGUGCCCAUGGUCACUGUGUGGUCAGUGCAUGCUGUCACCGUGUGGUCAGUGUCCAUUGUCACCGUGUGGUCAGUGCCCAUGGUCACCGUGUGGUCAGUGCACAUUGUCACCGUGUGGUCAGUGCACGCUGUCACCAUGUGGUCAGUGCAUGCUGUCACCGUGUGGUCAGUGCUCAUUGUCACCGUGUGGUCAGUGCACAUUGUCACCGUGUGGUCAGUGCACACGGUCACCGUGUGGUCAGUGCCCAUGGUCACUGUGUGGUCAGUGCCCAUGGUCACCGUGUGGUCAGUGUCCAUUGUCACUGUGUGGUCAGUGCACAUUGUCACCGUGUGGUCAGUG
This 1441-nucleotide long non-coding RNA is filed under the name Cyanistes caeruleus (blue tit). Its description in RNAcentral is "lncRNA (ENSCCEG00000007729.1)". The record is from RNAcentral. Lineage: Eukaryota; Metazoa; Chordata; Aves; Passeriformes; Paridae.